UACGUAGGGUGCAAGCGUUAAUCGGAAUUACUGGGCGUAAAGCGUGCGCAGGCGGUGAUGUAAGACAGGUGUGAAAUCCCCGGGCUUAACCUGGGAACUGCAUUUGUGACUGCAUCGCUGGAGUGCGGCAGAGGGGGAUGGAAUUCCGCGUGUAGCAGUGAAAUGCGUAGAUAUGCGGAGGAACACCGAUGGCGAAGGCAAUCCCCUGGGCCUGCACUGACGCUCAUGCACGAAAGCGUGGGGAGCAAACAGGA
Molecule: ribosomal RNA, 254 nt
Filed under: uncultured bacterium
Lineage: Bacteria
Description: partial 16S ribosomal RNA
Rfam family: Bacterial small subunit ribosomal RNA
Source: RNAcentral